Molecule: ribosomal RNA, 120 nt
Filed under: uncultured bacterium
Lineage: Bacteria
Description: partial 16S ribosomal RNA
Rfam family: Bacterial small subunit ribosomal RNA
Source: RNAcentral
UCGCCAUUGGAUGGGCCCGCGUCGGAUUAGCUAGUUGGUGGGGUAACGGCCUACCAAGGCGACGAUCCGUAGCUGGUCUGAGAGGAUGAUCAGCCACACUGGGACUGAGACACGGCCCAG